This 681-nucleotide long non-coding RNA is filed under the name Medicago truncatula (barrel medic). RNAcentral's name for it is "long non-coding RNA (MTRU_LNC006880)". The record is from RNAcentral. Lineage: Eukaryota; Viridiplantae; Streptophyta; Magnoliopsida; Fabales; Fabaceae.
UUAUUGUAUUGCUUUAGUCUUUUUGUCCAAUUAGUCAUAAGGUCCUUGCUGUCUCAUUUGGGGGGCAUUUUCGUCCAAUUUAUUUUCAGCUCAAACCCUAGUUGGUCACUAUAUAAGUAGUAAUCAUUGGCAGUCAGAACGGGGACUGUUCACGCGCAUCAGAGAGAAAACACGCGUCAGAGUCAGUCAGAAAUUUCAGCCACCAAUAAAAUAUUCACAAACACCUUUCACUUUUCUCUCUCAUCCAAAUUCGGAUCAAACCACAAAAGAUCAACAAAAAUGAUAUGAACACCUCAAGAACCUCAUGAACAUGAAGAACACUAUGAACACAAAAUUUCCAGCACACUAAAAUCAUCACUGAUUCAGACUAAUAACACAUGAUUUUCGGUUCCCUUCAUAGAUCAACCAUAACAACAGUUUCGAGUUCAAACACAAACUCAUCAAUAGUAACCGUUGUUGAGCUUCACAGAUCAGAAAGCGAAGAAGUUUGAAGCCGAACCGGAAUCGCGAAAUACAAAGAGAGUUUGUAAAUCCAGAUCGUGAAACAAAAACAUCAACAGCGAAGAGGUAGCUUUCUUCGUUUUUUCCUUUCCUUUUGUUUUCAAAAAGUUUUUUUCUCAAGGUUCAAAUUCAGAUCUACUCCGAUUGGAACUCUUUUUAAAAAAUCUAAGCCCGGAUUCG